AUUGAACGCUGGCGGCAGGCCUAACACAUGCAAGUCGAGCGGAUGAAGGGAGCUUGCUCCUGGAUUCAGCGGCGGACGGGUGAGUAAUGCCUAGGAAUCUGCCUUGUAGUGGGGGAUAACGUCCGGAAACGGGCGCUAAUACCGCAUACGUCCUGAGGUAGAAAGUGGGGGAUCUUCGGACCUCACGCUAUCAGAUGAGCCUAGGUCGGAUUAGCUAGUUGGUGGGGUAAAGGCCUACCAAGGCGACGAUCCGUAACUGGUCUGAGAGGAUGAUCAGUCACACUGGAACUGAGACACGGUCCAGACUCCUACGGGAGGCAGCAGUGGGGAAUAUUGGACAAUGGGCGAAAGCCUGAUCCAGCAAUGCCGCGUGUGUGAAGAAGGUCUUCGGAUUGUAAAGCACUUUAAGUUGGGAGGAAGGGCAGUAAGUUAAUACCUUGCUGUUUUGACGUUACCAACAGAAUAAGCACCGGCUAACUUCGUG
RNAcentral lists this ribosomal RNA (484 nucleotides) under uncultured bacterium. RNAcentral's name for it is "partial 16S ribosomal RNA". It matches the Rfam family "Bacterial small subunit ribosomal RNA", at positions 30 to 507 of the family's 1533-position model. The record is from RNAcentral.